RNAcentral lists this ribosomal RNA (253 nucleotides) under uncultured bacterium. RNAcentral's name for it is "partial 16S ribosomal RNA". It matches the Rfam family "Bacterial small subunit ribosomal RNA", at positions 524 to 776 of the family's 1533-position model. The record is from RNAcentral.
UACGCAGGGCGCAAGCGUUAUCCGGAAUUACUGGGUUUAAAGGGUGCGUAGGCGGCGUAGUAAGUCAGGAGUGAAAGUUUGCGGCUCAACCGUAAAAUUGCUUUUGAUACUGCUAUGCUAGAAUUAGGAUGAGGUCAGCGGAGUGUGGCAUGUAGCGGUGAAAUGCAUAGAUAUGCCAUAGAACACCAAUUGCGAAGGCAGCUGGCUAGACCUGGAUUGACGCUGAGGCACGAAAGCGUGGGGAGCGAACAGG